AAUCUACAAAAAGAACUUAGAAAAAAAAAGUCAUUUAAAAUAAAUUUUAGUGGGGGGGCCGCAUAUGUACAUAUCAGUCCGCCAACUCAUACAAACCCCAUUUGUUUAAAAUGGUAGGUAAACAGAAACUACUUAUCUUUUGACAGUCAAAUUUACAACUUUUUAAUAAUAUUGCGGCCAUUGAAAAUCUGAAGUCUUUAGGUGGAACUCAUGAAAUAAGAGAGGGAGAGAAUCUUGGGCUCUAAAGUACGACAAAUACACACACGUCACAUUAUUUC
RNAcentral lists this long non-coding RNA (278 nucleotides) under Amborella trichopoda. Its description in RNAcentral is "long non-coding RNA (ATRI_LNC001199)". Lineage: Eukaryota; Viridiplantae; Streptophyta; Magnoliopsida; Amborellales; Amborellaceae. The record is from RNAcentral.